This is a non-coding RNA of Acyrthosiphon pisum (pea aphid), 46 nucleotides long. Lineage: Eukaryota; Metazoa; Arthropoda; Insecta; Hemiptera; Aphididae. The record is from Rfam.
AAAACGGUCCUUCUCAGGACCACUAUACAUACAUAGACCCCCCAAG